Long non-coding RNA from Homo sapiens (human), 673 nucleotides. Ensembl annotates it as family with sequence similarity 230 member H. Its record names the gene FAM230H. The record is from Ensembl. Lineage: Eukaryota; Metazoa; Chordata; Mammalia; Primates; Hominidae.
AGCAGUUGGACCUCACAGUGUGGAUUGUGCCUUCACCCUGGAAUGUUUAUGCCCUAUCGCCAUGGUGAUGGGAUUAGGGAUCUUCUGCCCUUGGUCCUAAGUGCCACUAUCUGUGCUGAGUUUUUCAAAGGUCAGAGCAGAUUGAACCAUUGUGGUUUCAUUUUCCCUGAUUUUGAUUUUUCUUAUGGGGAACCUGUGUGGCUGCAUUCAAGGUGACUCGAAGAAGCCUUCCAAAAAGCAUGUGAAAAGGAAGCCCUACUCUACUACCAAGGUGACUUCAGGGAGCACAUUCAAUGCCAGUGAAGAGAUCACUAUUCACCAUGCAAGGGAGUUCCAGCACCCUCUAUGCCUGGAAUUACCCACACCUGCAGAGAUCCCAAAUGCCAUCCCUCACAUAAGACAGCCUCAUGAUCUCAUAAUCCAGAGAAUACAAGAAGAUAUGCUGUGCACACCAACCAGUGUAGGAGACCUCAUGGCUCCCGGGUAAAGAAGAAGAGGUACCCACAAGAAGAUGACUUCCAUCAUACAGUCUUCAGCAACCUUGAAAGAUUGGACAAGCUUCAGCCCACUCUUGAAGCCUCUGAGGAGUCUCUAGUUCACAAGGACAGAGGAGAUGGAGAGAGGCCAGUCAACGCGAGGGUGGUGCAGGUGGCCCCUCUGAGGCUUGAAUCUA